This 74-nucleotide transfer RNA is filed under the name Pedobacter sp. IW39. RNAcentral describes it as "tRNA-Pro". It matches the Rfam family "tRNA". From Rfam's summary of the family: Transfer RNA (tRNA) molecules are approximately 80 nucleotides in length. Their secondary structure includes four short double-helical elements and three loops (D, anti-codon, and T loops). Lineage: Bacteria; Pseudomonadati; Bacteroidota; Sphingobacteriia; Sphingobacteriales; Sphingobacteriaceae. The record is from RNAcentral.
UUGGGUGCAGCGUAGCCCGGUAUCGCGCCUGCUUUGGGAGCAGGAGGUCGUAGGUUCGAAUCCUGCCACUCGAU